UUGAAGCCAUUUUCAAUGGCAGAAAGCUGCUUAACCUCUGUACCAACUACACUCUUCACCACCAAAACCCCACACCCGCUCCUCUCACUCCCACCAAAGCCCGUCAGACUCUUUCACCUCUCCUGCUCGUGUUCCUCUUCAUGGGUCUCCCUCAAAACCAAGACUUCACCGACCACUUUGGUCCCAUUUGUGGCACAGACCUCGGACUGGGCUCAGCAGGAGGAGGAGGAAGAGAAGGGUGGGUUGACGUGGGACAGUGAAGGAGGGGAAGAGAUUGAGGCUUCUGGCUCUGAGGAAGCUUGGGAGGGUGAGGUUGGGGAAGAUGGAGAAGAGAGUGAAGGGAGUGAAGAUACUUACAGUGAGCCGCCUGAGGAGGCUAAGCUUUUUGUGGGGAAUUUGCCUUAUGAUAUUGAUAGUGAGAAAUUGGCUCAGCUUUUUGACGAGGCUGGAGUUG
This 454-nucleotide long non-coding RNA is filed under the name Vitis vinifera (wine grape). Its description in RNAcentral is "long non-coding RNA (VVIN_LNC004838)". The record is from RNAcentral. Lineage: Eukaryota; Viridiplantae; Streptophyta; Magnoliopsida; Vitales; Vitaceae.